RNAcentral lists this ribosomal RNA (549 nucleotides) under uncultured bacterium. RNAcentral describes it as "bacterial SSU rRNA". It matches the Rfam family "Bacterial small subunit ribosomal RNA", at positions 58 to 650 of the family's 1533-position model. The record is from RNAcentral.
CAAGUCGAGCGAACCGCAAGGGUUAGCGGCGGACGGGUUAGUAACGCGUGGGAAUAUGCCCAAAGGUACGGAAUAGCCCAGGGAAACUUGGAGUAAUACCGUAUGUGCCCUUCGGGGGAAAGAAUUUAUCGCCUUUGGAUUAGCCCGCGUUGGAUUAGGUAGUUGGUGGGGUAAUGGCCUACCAAGCCGAACGAAUCCAUAGCUGGUUUGAGAGGAUGAUCAGCAACACUGGGACUGAGACACGGCCCAGACUCCUACGGGAGGCAGCAGUGGGGAAUCUUAGACAAUGGGGGAAACCCUGAUCUAGCCAUGCCGCGUGGACGAUGAAGGCCUUAGGGUUGUAAAGUCCUUUCAGCUGGGAAGAAUAAUGACGGUACCAGCAGAAAAAGCCCCGGCUAACUCCGUGCCAGCAGCCGCGGUAAUACGGAGGGGGCUAGCGUUGUUCGGAAUUACUGGGCGUAAAGCGCGCGUAGGCGGACUGGAAAGUUGGGGGUGAAAUCCCAGGGCUCAACCCUGGAACUGCCUUCAAAACUCCCAGUCUGGAGUUCG